RNAcentral lists this unclassified non-coding RNA (1873 nucleotides) under Hevea brasiliensis (rubber tree). Lineage: Eukaryota; Viridiplantae; Streptophyta; Magnoliopsida; Malpighiales; Euphorbiaceae. The record is from RNAcentral.
GAUCAACCUGGCUAUGUACUGAAAUGAAAGUAGAAGAUUAAACUUGUAAAGGUUUUUGCAUGUGACUUGUUUCUGCAAUUUUUAGAGCCCUUAAAGUAAUAUUAAGGCUGUAGUUGAAGAGCAUUUGCUUUUGCAGCUAGGGAUAGUAGUUUUAAACUGUUUUUACGGCUAGCAAGUUCAGUUCAGUCAGUUCUAUUGCAAUGAUUGCUCAAUGCCCGGCUUUGCUAAGUUAAUGGCUUCAUAUUGUUCAACAAAACUGGAGGGCUUGCAGUGUCCCAUGCACAGCUACCUGUAGCAGCUGAUUAAUUGCUUUCGUAUUUUGUGGGCCUAAUUUUUCCUUUCUCGAGAAUAACUCUCCCACCCAUAUAUAAUUCCUUCCUCCCUCGUAAAAUCCACACAGCAACAAGUUUUUAUAUGCACUAUACACACAUUUCCCAUUCAUAAGAAGUUCUUGAAAUCCAAUUUCAUGGCAAGUUCUGUUCUCAUAUCCUCAAUCAUCUUAGCUCUACUCAUGAUAAUGGGUACUGUUUCCCCUCAAGUUGAGGCAAGAGCCUUCUUUGUGUUUGGAGAUUCACUAGUUGACCAUGGCAAUAACAAUUACUUAGCCACUACUGCACGGGCAGACUCUCCGCCUUAUGGCAUUGAUUUUCCUACUCAUCGACCCACUGGCCGGUUCUCUAAUGGCCUUAACAUCCCUGAUCUUAUCAGUCAAGAACUUGGCUCGGACUUAAUAUUGCCAUACUUGAGUCCACAGCUCACUGGACGGAAGCUACUUGUUGGUGCCAAUUUUGCUUCUGCUGGAAUUGGAAUUCUCAAUGAUACUGGAAUUCAAUUUGUAAAUAUACUUAGACUGUAUCAACAGUUUGCGUACUUCCAAGAAUACCAGCAGCGAGUGGCUGCUCUCAUUGGAGCUGAACAGACCAAGAAACUUGUUAAUGAGGCUCUUGUGCUUAUCACAGCUGGUGGGAAUGAUUUUGUUAACAACUAUUACUUGGUGCCUAACUCCGUAAGGUCUCAGCAGUUUUCACUACCAGAUUAUGUGAAAUUUCUCAUCCCUGAGUAUAGAAAACAUCUUGAGAGACUAUAUGAUCUUGGAGCACGAAGAGUUCUAGUAACAGGCUCAGGUCCAUUGGGUUGUGUCCCUGCAGAAUUGGCUUUGAGGGGCAGAAAUGGGCAAUGCUCAACUGAAUUGCAACAGGCUGCAGCCUUAUACAAUCCUCAACUCACUGAAAUGAUCAAAGAACUCAACGCCCAAUAUGGUUCAGACAUCUUUAUUGCUGCAAAUACACGCGAAAUGAGUACUAACUUCAUCAGUAAUCCUGAAGCAUUUGGUAAGUCCUUUUGGCAAUAAGCUUCAACUCGGUGAUAUUGAGUGACUCUUACAACUGUAAGGUUUUGAAUUCGAGCUCCUAACUAGAAAAAGUCUUAUCAUAAUUAUUGGCAUCUAUUAAGCCCAAUUGAUUGUGUAAUAUUAAUGCUGUUGAUAUGCAGGAUUUACUACAUCAAAGAUGGCUUGUUGUGGGCAAGGACCCUAUAAUGGUAUAGGUCUAUGCACACCCUCAUCAAACUUGUGCUCUAACAGGGAUGAAUAUGCGUUUUGGGAUCCAUUCCAUCCUUCGGAGAGGGCAAACAGAUAUCUUGUUCAACAGAUGAUGAAUGGCUCAACUGAAUAUAUGAACCCCAUGAAUCUUAGCACCAUCUUGGCCAUGGACUCUAGGACCUAAUUAAUCAUUUGCAUAUUCUCUUGAAGAUUUUAUUCCACUUCUGUUUAAUAAAUUGCUCAUAUAUUUAUGUUGCAAUGGAUUUUCUAGUGGAAUUGAAUUGUUGAAAUGCGCCAGAUUGUGAAUUGUUGAAUAUGGUGAUACUUUGUGCA